Molecule: ribosomal RNA, 253 nt
Filed under: uncultured bacterium
Lineage: Bacteria
Description: partial 16S ribosomal RNA
Rfam family: Bacterial small subunit ribosomal RNA
Source: RNAcentral
GACAGAGGCCUCGAGCGUUAGGCGGAAUCACUGGGCUUAAAGCGUGUGUAGGCGGGCCCGUAAGUGUCUUGUGAAAUCCCACGGCUCAACCGUGGAACUGCUGGGCAUACUGCGGGUCUUGGGCCAACUAGGGGCAGCCGGAACAAGCGGUGGAGCGGUGAAAUGCGUAGAUAUCGCUUGGAACGCCGAAGGUGAAAACAGGCUGCUGGGGUUGCGCAGACGCUGAGACACGAAAGCCAGGGGAGCAAACGGG